RNAcentral lists this ribosomal RNA (426 nucleotides) under uncultured bacterium. Its description in RNAcentral is "partial 16S ribosomal RNA". It matches the Rfam family "Bacterial small subunit ribosomal RNA", at positions 355 to 774 of the family's 1533-position model. The record is from RNAcentral.
UGGGGAAUAUUGCACAAUGGGCGCAAGCCUGAUGCAGCCAUGCCGCGUGUAUGAAGAAGGCCUUCGGGUUGUAAAGUACUUUCAGCGAGGAGGAAGGCGUUGUGGUUAAUAACCGCAGCGAUUGACGUUACUCGCAGAAGAAGCACCGGCUACUCCGUGCCAGCAGCCGCGGUAAUACGGAGGGUGCAAGCGUUAAUCGGAAUUACUGGGUGUAAAGCGCACGCAGGCGGUCUGUCAAGUCGGAUGUGAAAUCCCCGGGCUCAACCUGGGAACUGCAUCCGAAACUGGCAGGCUAGAGUCUUGUAGAGGGGGGUAGAAUUCCAGGUGUAGCGGUGAAAUGCGUAGAGAUCUGGAGGAAUACCGGUGGCGAAGGCGGCCCCCUGGACAAAGACUGACGCUCAGGUGCGAAAGCGUGGGGAGCAAACA